ACGAGUGCUCACUUUCCCGGCGACUCGACUCGAAAAUAAAUCUCCACCCGAAGUGGACCUAAUCCCGGCAAGAAAUUGAGCUGCAGAGUGAAUAGAGAUUGAUAGAGUCUCCUGUUGCUCUAAAACGAGCGGCGGCGAGGGAGAGAGAUGGCCGGAUCAACGAGAACAGCCGGCGCUUUUGCCGUAACUCCGCACAAAAUUUCCGUUUGCAUUCUCCUGCUGAUAUAUGCUCCAGAUGUCUCUCCCCUUCCCUUUCUCUUCCGUUUCUCAGCACAACCGACUUGCCCUCUACUUGCUGCUCUCUCUCACUAAGGCAUGCUAUGAUUAUGUAUGAGAUGAAGCUGGAAGAGCUCAUCAACAAAUUGAGAGAAGUUGGGGAAGACUUGGAUGUGUGGCUAGCUGAGCAUUUAACUAAAUAGAUUUUCAUCUUUGUAUUCACCUGAUGAUCUAUUGAAUUUUUUUACUGACAUGCGAGGAAUAUUUGGAAGCCUUGAUUCAGGAGCUGUGCUAGAUGAUCAGAUUGUUUUGGUUCCAAACAGCAACUUGGGAGUGUUUGUUCGUCGUUGCAUUUUGGCUUUUAACCUUUUAUCGUUCGAGCUAGUGCAGGGACUGAGGGAUUUGACCUUGUUCCUCCUUCCACUGGUUGUAGCAUGUAUGGAAGUGUCCUGGAUUCUGUCUAAGGCAAGCUUCAGAUGAGCUUUCAAGCUUUGGAGUACCAUGAACUAGCAGCUGAAGCUUUGUAUUUAAUGGCGAUGGUAUACGACAAGCUGGGACGUCGUGAAGAGAGUGGAGAACCCUCAAGACGUGGAACCAAACAUUGCAUGAGAAUCUGUGGCCAUAGCUAAUAAGCUUACUCAGUAAAGCUUGCAACUUAAGUUGUAACAUGUUCCUUAAGACUUGUUCUAGUGAUGUCUAACUUUACGUCACGAUCGACACUAAGUAGGUUGCAACCUUAUACUAACUCUGAAAAUGUAGGAGACUGAAAAACCAUCGAGGUGAUUUGAAAUUCUUUUGUACAGUAUAUGCUAAUUCAACGCAAUCUCUGUU
This is a long non-coding RNA of Raphanus sativus (radish), 1047 nucleotides long. RefSeq lists it as uncharacterized. The transcript has 6 exons. The record is from RefSeq and is a predicted model, not a curated record. NCBI's taxonomy places the organism in Eukaryota, Viridiplantae, Streptophyta, Magnoliopsida, Brassicales, Brassicaceae.